This is a non-coding RNA of Pelobates cultripes (western spadefoot toad), 484 nucleotides long. The record is from the annotation of a GenBank genome assembly. Lineage: Eukaryota; Metazoa; Chordata; Amphibia; Anura; Pelobatidae.
AAAAAACGGAAGAAUGAUAAGAGGGAUAAGAGAAAGUAGGCAUUUUGGGUUAUCUAUACAUGUUUAAAUAGAAGGGUGGGUAAUAGGAAUGUAAUUGUUUUGGUUAGUGUUUAGAUUAAAUUGGUAAAUGCAGCAGUAAUAACGAGUGUUUGGGUUAAAUUGGUAGAUACAGCAGUGAUAUUGUGUUUAUCUGUGAAUCAGGAGUGUGCUGGAUGUGAAGAGAGGUGUGUAGGUAUUUAUCCAAACGCCAUAGGAAAAAAUAUGGUUAAGACACCACAAUCAAAUGGUACUUGUGAUGAUUGGCACAGUUAUUAUUUAUGUUUGUGUUCGUCAUUGCCUGUGUUUUCAUUCAAGAACUUUCAUGCAAGGAUAUUUUAAGCUGAAGAAGAAGCAGCACUGGACACUAUGCUCAACUGUUGCUGUAAGGAGAAAAAAUAUUGCAGCUAAGAGUGGUGAGAGUCGGAACAAAUGCAUCAGGAGCAGG